Molecule: ribosomal RNA, 449 nt
Filed under: uncultured bacterium
Lineage: Bacteria
Description: partial 16S ribosomal RNA
Rfam family: Bacterial small subunit ribosomal RNA
Source: RNAcentral
AAUGAACGCUGGCGGCAUGCCUAACACAUGCAAGUCGAACGAAGGCUUCGGCCUUAGUGGCGCACGGAUGCGUAACGCGUGGGAAUCUGCCCUCAGGUUCGGAAUAACAGCGAGAAAUUGCUGCUAAUACCGGAUGAUAUCGCGAGAUCAAAGAUUUAUCGCCUGAGGAUGAGCCCGCGUAGGAUUCGCUAGUUGGUGUGGUAAAGGCGCACCAAGGCGACGAUCCUUAGCUGGUCUGAGAGGAUGAUCAGCCACACUGGGACUGAGACACGGCCCAGACUCCUACGGGAGGCAGCAGUGGGGAAUAUUGGACAAUGGGCGAAAGCCUGAUCCAGCAAUGCCGCGUGAGUGAUGAAGGCCUUAGGGUUGUAAAGCUCUUUUACCCGGGAUGAUAAUGACAGUACCGGGAGAAUAAGCUCCGGCUAACUCCGUGCCAGCCGCCGCGGUAA